GACGAACGCUGGCGGCGUGCUUAACACAUGCAAGUCGAACGGAAAGGCCCUGCUUGUGUGGGGUGCUCGAGGGGCGGACGGGUGAGUAACACGUGAGUAACCUGCCCUUGACUUUGGGAUAACUUCAGGAAAGUGGGGUUAAUACCAGAUCGGAUCUCCUCCUGCGUGGUGGGGGGUGGAUAGUUUCGGCGGUUGGGGAUGGACUAGCGGCUUAUCAGCUUGUUGGUGGGGUAGUGGCUUACCAAGGCUUUGACGGGUCGCCGGCCUGAGAGGGUGACCGGCGACAUUGGUACUGAGAGACGGCCCAGACUGCUACGGGAGGCAGCAGUGGGGAAUAUUGCACAAUGGGCGGAAGCCUGAUGCAGCAGCGCCGCGUGCGGGAUGACGGCCUUCGGGUUGUAAACCGCUUUCGCCUGUGACGAAGCGGGAGUGACGGUAAUGGGUAAAGAAGCACCGGCUAACUACGUG
Molecule: ribosomal RNA, 468 nt
Filed under: uncultured bacterium
Lineage: Bacteria
Description: partial 16S ribosomal RNA
Rfam family: Bacterial small subunit ribosomal RNA
Source: RNAcentral